This 76-nucleotide transfer RNA is filed under the name bacterium. Its description in RNAcentral is "tRNA-Asp". It matches the Rfam family "tRNA". From Rfam's summary of the family: Transfer RNA (tRNA) molecules are approximately 80 nucleotides in length. Their secondary structure includes four short double-helical elements and three loops (D, anti-codon, and T loops). The record is from RNAcentral. RNAcentral also lists the same sequence under 9 other names.
GGUCCGGUGGUGUAGGGGUCAACAUGCCUGCCUGUCACGCAGGAGAUCGCGGGUUCAAAUCCCGUCCGGACCGCCA